Molecule: small nuclear RNA, 19 nt
Filed under: Arabidopsis thaliana (thale cress)
Lineage: Eukaryota; Viridiplantae; Streptophyta; Magnoliopsida; Brassicales; Brassicaceae
Description: snRNA_18111
Source: RNAcentral
CUGCCACGAUCCACUGAGA